Molecule: ribosomal RNA, 253 nt
Filed under: uncultured bacterium
Lineage: Bacteria
Description: partial 16S ribosomal RNA
Rfam family: Bacterial small subunit ribosomal RNA
Source: RNAcentral
GACAGAGGUGCAAAGCGUUAGGCGGAAUCACUGGGCUUAAAGCGUGUGUAGGUGGAUGCCUAAGUACCUUGUGAAAUCCCACGGCUCACCCGUGGAACUGCUUGGUAUACUGGGUGUCUUGAGCCACUUAGGGGUCGCUGGAACAAACGGUGGAGCGGUGAAAUGCGUAGAUAUCGUUUGGAACGCCAAUGGUGAAAACAGGCGACUGGGAGUGUGCUGACACUGAGACACGAAAGCCAGGGGAGCGAACGGG